This 72-nucleotide transfer RNA is filed under the name Felis catus (domestic cat). It matches the Rfam family "tRNA". From Rfam's summary of the family: Transfer RNA (tRNA) molecules are approximately 80 nucleotides in length. Lineage: Eukaryota; Metazoa; Chordata; Mammalia; Carnivora; Felidae. The record is from Rfam by way of RNAcentral.
ACCUGGCUGGCUCAACAGGUGGAGCAUGUGACUCUUGAUCUCAGGUUGUGUGUUCAAGCCCCACGUUGGGCG